Molecule: unclassified non-coding RNA, 266 nt
Filed under: Hevea brasiliensis (rubber tree)
Lineage: Eukaryota; Viridiplantae; Streptophyta; Magnoliopsida; Malpighiales; Euphorbiaceae
Source: RNAcentral
AAAAGAACUACAGCAUAUGAUUACUGAUUACAGACAAUAGCUUCCAAACUGGAAAAAUGACAAAGCUUACAGACCAAAGUCAAUCACACAACAGCUGAAUGAAGACAUCUCAAAUUACAACCCAAUUUAGACUACUGCUCUUGGAGGAUCUCCUCUCUCAGUGAGAGUCGACGAACUAGGGCUGUUCCUCGACGCUCACUGAGUAGCGGCUCUCCUCUGUCCUCCGGAGAUGAAGUCCGAGCCCCCUUCAGGAGAAAAUCUCCAUG